UACGUAGGGUGCGAGCGUUGUCCGGAAUUAUUGGGCGUAAAGGGCUCGUAGGCGGUCUGUUGCGUCAGGAGUGAAAACUCGGGGCUUAACCCCGAGCCUGCUUCUGAUACGGGCAGACUAGAGGUAUGCAGGGGAGAACGGAAUUCCUGGUGUAGCGGUGAAAUGCGCAGAUAUCAGGAGGAACACCGGUGGCGAAGGCGGAUCUCUGGGCCUUACCUGACGCUCAGGUGCGAAAGCUAGGGGAGCAAACAGG
RNAcentral lists this ribosomal RNA (253 nucleotides) under uncultured bacterium. Its description in RNAcentral is "partial 16S ribosomal RNA". It matches the Rfam family "Bacterial small subunit ribosomal RNA", at positions 524 to 776 of the family's 1533-position model. The record is from RNAcentral.